GAUGAACGCUGGCGGCGUGCUUAACACAUGCAAGUCGAACGAAGCGCUUUUAUUUGAUUUCUUCGGAAUGAAGAUUUUAGUGACUGAGUGGCGGACGGGUGAGUAACGCGUGGGUAACCUGCCUUAUACAGGGGGAUAACAGUUAGAAAUGACUGCUAAUACCGCCUAAGACCACAGUACCGCAUGGUACAGGGGUAAAAACUCCGGUGGUAUGAGAUGGACCCGCGUCUGAUUAGGUAGGUGGUGGGGUAACGGCCCACCAAGCCGACGAUCAGUAGCCGGACUGAGAGGGUGACCGGCCACAUGGGGACUGAGACACGGCCCAAACUCCUACGGGAGGCAGCAGUGGGGAAUAUUGCACAAUGGGGGAAACCCUGAUGCAGCGACGCCGCGUGAGCGAUGAAGUAUUUCGGUAUGUAAAGCUCUAUCAGCAGGGAAGAAAAUGACGGUACCUGACUAAGAAGCACCGGCUAAAUACGUGCCAGCAGCCGCAGUAA
RNAcentral lists this ribosomal RNA (497 nucleotides) under uncultured bacterium. RNAcentral's name for it is "partial 16S ribosomal RNA". It matches the Rfam family "Bacterial small subunit ribosomal RNA", at positions 28 to 523 of the family's 1533-position model. The record is from RNAcentral.